This 268-nucleotide transfer-messenger RNA is filed under the name Roseovarius sp. RNAcentral describes it as "partial transfer-messenger RNA". It matches the Rfam family "Alphaproteobacteria transfer-messenger RNA", at positions 1 to 265 of the family's 355-position model. From Rfam's summary of the family: Bacterial tmRNA, also known as 10Sa RNA or SsrA, is named for its dual tRNA and mRNA-like properties. The record is from RNAcentral. Lineage: Bacteria; Pseudomonadati; Pseudomonadota; Alphaproteobacteria; Rhodobacterales; Roseobacteraceae.
CCCCUAGCCAAGCGGGCGGGAUGCACCUAUAUUCACAGUGUUCUCGGCAACGGGGACUAUGGACAUAAACGCGCUCGUAAUACGCGGAUCGGACCCGGGGGCGGUACCCGGCGACUCCACCAAUAAUCCCUUCAUUUGGGGGAUCCUGGGGUCGAAACAGGAUCGACGAACGUCUAAAGGGGUAUUGCUUUGUCUCGGUGAGGUACCACCGUUAUCGGUCCGAAAAGUACAAUUGCAAAUGACAAUCGUGCUCCGGUAGCUCUCGCAG